Molecule: ribosomal RNA, 253 nt
Filed under: uncultured bacterium
Lineage: Bacteria
Description: partial 16S ribosomal RNA
Rfam family: Bacterial small subunit ribosomal RNA
Source: RNAcentral
GACGUAGGGCGCGAGCGUUGUCCGGAUUUAUUGGGCGUAAAGAGCUCGUAGGCGGCUUGUCGCGUCGUCCGUGAAAACCUGCAGCUCAACUGCAGGCUUGCGGUCGAUACGGGCAGGCUGGAGUUCGGUAGGGGAGACUGGAAUUCCUGGUGUAGCGGUGAAAUGCGCAGAUAUCAGGAGGAACUCCGGUGGCGAAGGCGGGUCUCUGGGCCGAUACUGACGCUGAGGAGCGAAAGCGUGGGGAGCGAACAGG